GCGCUCCCUUUGGCCCAGGCCCUGGUGUGACAGCGUCCCUUCCCGCAGACAGAGGAGCCUCCUGUGACCGCGUGAGCUGCUCGGCGCUGGGACCUCGAGGCCUUUCCAUGGGGUGAGGCCCUGGACGGCAGARCUGCUCAUCUUUCCAGCUCUGAUGCAAUAAACCUCGCGGGGGAACCCAAGAGACUGGAGGAUCUAACUAUUCCUUAGGCGAGUCCCCGCUCCCCCACCGAGCUGCGGGCCUGGUGAUUUCCCCGGAUUGCUCACGAGCCGAUGGCAGUUGAGGCACGGUUACGGACAGCUYGCUGGUCGGGAUGCGUAAAAACUCCCUGGAUGAGCCCGUCUCCUUCUGCCUGGCUCCUCACCGCAGAGGCAACCCUGUCGCCAUGUGUAGCGAGACAUACAGAGACAGAGCGGUCCGUYGUUUCUGAGACGCUUCGCAGCAGGACGCGAGGUAAGGCCGGCUCUGGAAAUACUGAUACGGCCACUCAACUAGCCCUGUUUGCGCUGGGCCAUCAGAGCAAUCAACAGCCAACAGAUAAUUUAUCAAUUAAAAUCAYUGGCGCUGGACGCGGUUGCCCUCAGCUGGAGGGGCCCCCUCCCAGCUGCCGCGGCAAAGAGGGAUAAAACUUUGCCCCCGUCCUUCCUCCCGUCUGCAGGGAGCUGCCUGCGGAGAAGCCGGCGUUUCCCGAUGUUAACCGUUCAGAUACCAGCGCUGAUACCGCUGAUUGUCUCGGCGAUUACGCGGUGGGCGGAAGCACCCAGGGCGCUCGGAGAAAUGGAUCCCAAACCCUAGAAAUUAAAGCCCCGAGGGGGGAGGCUGAUGGUUUCAG
RNAcentral lists this long non-coding RNA (833 nucleotides) under Dromaius novaehollandiae (emu). RNAcentral describes it as "lncRNA (ENSDNVG00000012468.1)". The record is from RNAcentral. Lineage: Eukaryota; Metazoa; Chordata; Aves; Casuariiformes; Dromaiidae.